This 59-nucleotide ribosomal RNA is filed under the name Gnetum gnemon. Its description in RNAcentral is "partial 26S ribosomal RNA". The record is from RNAcentral. Lineage: Eukaryota; Viridiplantae; Streptophyta; Gnetopsida; Gnetales; Gnetaceae.
ACCCCAGUUCAGGCGAGGAUACCCGCUGAGUUUAAGCAUAUCAAUAAGCGGAGGAAAAG